RNAcentral lists this ribosomal RNA (463 nucleotides) under Aspidiotus rigidus. RNAcentral describes it as "partial large subunit ribosomal RNA". It matches the Rfam family "Eukaryotic large subunit ribosomal RNA", at positions 470 to 825 of the family's 3401-position model. Lineage: Eukaryota; Metazoa; Arthropoda; Insecta; Hemiptera; Diaspididae. The record is from RNAcentral.
UCCUUGCUCGGAGGAGCCGCGAUCGAGUUCGUUGCGUGCGCGUUUCGGCGUGUCACGCGGCGAAGACGCGGAUCUCUGGCUGGCCGUCGGACAGUAUGCUCAACGGUGUCCGGUGUCGUCGUCUCGUACGCGCGCGCACCGGUACCGGUCAGCGACGAAUUCUUCGGGCCUCUUUCCGACCCGUCUUGAAACACGGACCAAGGAGUCUAACAUGCGCGCGAGUCGCGGGGUGUCGAGCGUACCUCGGUACGUUCGUUACGUUGCGAAACCCGUACAUGUCGAAGGCGUAAUGAAAGUGAAUGGGGAAGAUGGUGUUCCGAGUACACGUUCCGCGAUCACUGGCAUCGCGGCCGGACACCCGCAUUCCCGGGGCGUCUCAACGGCCCGUCGCUGAUGCGGACAUUCGUCGGUCGGCGACGAACCGAGGCGCACCUAUAGCGUGCACGUUGGUACCCGAAAGAUG